This 253-nucleotide ribosomal RNA is filed under the name uncultured bacterium. RNAcentral describes it as "partial 16S ribosomal RNA". It matches the Rfam family "Bacterial small subunit ribosomal RNA", at positions 524 to 776 of the family's 1533-position model. The record is from RNAcentral.
UACGAAGGGGGCAAGCGUUGUUCGGAAUUACUGGGCGUAAAGCGCGUGUAGGCGGCCAACUAAGUCAACUGUGAAAGCCCUUGGCUCAACCAAGGAAGUGCAGCCGAAACUGGAUGGCUAGAGUCCUGAAGAGGGUGGCGGAAUGCCCAGUGUAGAGGUGAAAUUCGCAGAGAUUGGGUAGAACACCGGUGGCGAAGGCGGCCACCUGGGAAGGUACUGACGCUGAGACGCGAAAGCGUGGGGAGCAAACAGG